GCCACACCGACCCCACCCUACUUCACAGACCGCGACCGAGUGGAAGGAGGGGAGCGCAAACUGCGCAGACGGUCGGGUGAAGGCGGAGCAAAGGUCCGGAAGAGCCAUCGCGGGAGCCCACCGGCGUUCAGCUGCCGUUGCGCCCGACUCGGCCCAGGCCCGGGGGGUCGCGGCCCCAGGCGUCUCCAUGGUGCUGGCAUCUGAGGCGGGUGUGAAGCAAGGCAGGGCGAGGCCGUUCGGCUGCCUUUGCUUUUGGAAUCACUCAACGAACGUAUUUCAAAGGGGACGAGCAUGCUGUGUCGACUUCACCUCUAUGGUUUUCCGAGGCUUUAGACUGGACAGCUGUCCUGCAAAAGACCAGCCAGAAGAAACUAGAAGAGUAGAGAAAAAUUUCUUCCUCCCCCACAGUUGGCAUAGCUGGGAGGAUGUACUUCCUCAGCUGGACUCUGCUCUCUCUGAGGCUGCUGCAACUGAGAGAUCCUGGGACAUCUGACAAGCACCGGCAGAAGAUGUGUGUGGAUCCUCUGGGGGCGUCCGUUGGAAGAAAGCCGCUUGAGGGUACUAGGCUGCCCAUCGGGGUCGGAGAGUUUUCACCUAUUUCCACAUCCUCCCGGAGGAAAGUCCAUCCGCCUUCCGAAGUAUAGUCGCGUGGGUGUCUCAGACGUCCUGAGAUGCUGUCUGGAUAUCCUUUGUCAAGCGAUAAGUGUCCAAAUAAUUGUAGACUCGAAGGGCGAGAGACAAAGAGGACUACUCACGGCGCCAUCUUGGCUCUCCUCGAUACAUAUUUAAUUAAAAUGAAAGUUAAGAUUUUAAAAAGCCCUUAUUCAAUUCACAAAUCACGUCAGUUGAAUUAGUGGUCAGAGCCUGCUGUGGUUGCAGCCACCGAGAACGUGGGUCCCACUGAGGAUCUCAGUUAUUUCUUUUGGCUAUCUUUGGGAGUGACUGUGGAUCUUGGGAAGGUAGUAACAUUUGAGGAUGCUCUUGAAUCCAUGGAGUUGUUUAAUACUGCCAGAAAUAUUUACUGUUUGUCCCUGCUGAAAACUGGCGAGAUUUUUAGAAGAAUUAUUUUAGUAGCUCUGUGGUCAAAAAUUGGCCCUGUUGGAAGCUGAUAUUCAGAGCCUGAUAGGAAUUUUUUAUAGGCCUUCUUACCUAAGUUAAAAUAAAACUAUGUACUUAGAGGGAAAGAAGCAAAUUAGGAAUAAUAGAGUUGGACAGGUAGACCAACCUCUGAUGUCAUUUAAGUUACAACCCAAUUUCUAUGGAAUUGAGAGCAACUGUUCUUAUUUUACAAGUCUUUGCAAAACUGGAAAUUCAUCUCUAGAGGCAGUUCAGAUUCCACCCAUUCCCUUUCAUCAAUCCCCAAAAUCCCCCCUAUUUAUCUCAAAAGACUUAUAACCUCUCAGGGCUAGACCAUCCCCAAUUCCUAAGACUGAAGGGAGAAAAAAAAAGGAAAAAAGAGUCAAACAGCUUUAGAAGCACCCUCGCCCAAAAUCCGGCAUCUUAAGUAUCUUCUCCACAAAAAUUAGUAGAAAAACGUUUUAGCCAUCUAAGCAGGUCAACUUAAUUUAUUCCAUCUGCCAGAAACAAAAUUUGGAUCCAACUGUUCUUUCAUAACAUGUGAGCUUUGUGUUACUGUACCUGACUCAUGGCAGUAAUUUUUAAAUAAUAGCUAUGAGGUCUCUAUGUAUGUGUCUGUAUAUGUGUAUGUUAUAAAUGUGUGAUAUUUUUCUACCUCCAGAUGAUAUUAUCAAAUCUAGUUUAUAGAGAGCUCUGUUUAAUUACCUUAAAAACAAACAAGCCCUAUAUAAAUUUAGUAUACUCUCAAAAAUAUAACUGAAAUGAACUCAAAUGAAUUUCAGGAUCAUGUGAUCUAGAAAAAUAUUCAGUAUUAAAGCUAAUUUAAGCUUGUUGGUUUAAUUAAAAUAGUUAUGUCUUCAGAGUUAUCAGCAUUCGAUGUAAUGCAGACAUGCAACUUUUAUUCUACUUGAGUUAUUAGUCAAAUAAGUUUAUGUUAUCUCUGCUUCAAAAUUUGUCAGCAAUAAUAAUAAUAAUAAUAACUUAAAAUGAUAGCUAACUGCCUUAACGUCUGAUAAAAUUUUCAUGAAUAAUCUAAGUAUG
Molecule: long non-coding RNA, 2118 nt
Organism: Equus caballus (horse)
Lineage: Eukaryota; Metazoa; Chordata; Mammalia; Perissodactyla; Equidae
Source: Ensembl